Molecule: ribosomal RNA, 253 nt
Filed under: uncultured bacterium
Lineage: Bacteria
Description: partial 16S ribosomal RNA
Rfam family: Bacterial small subunit ribosomal RNA
Source: RNAcentral
UACAGAGGGUGCAAGCGUUAAUCGGAAUUACUGGGCGUAAAGCGUGCGCAGGCGGUUUUGUAAGUCUGUCGUGAAAUCCCCGGGCUCAACCUGGGAAUUGCGAUGGAGACUGCAAGGCUUGAAUCUGGCAGAGGGGGGUAGAAUUCCACGUGUAGCAGUGAAAUGCGUAGAGAUGUGGAGGAACACCGAUGGCGAAGGCAGCCCCCUGGGUCAAGAUUGACGCUCAUGUACGAAAGCGUGGGGAGCAAACAGG